GAUGCUUCGCUAAUUUUCUGUAUUGGUUCAAUCCUGAUAUGGUUUAAUUCUGUUUGAUUAAAUCCAAUACAUGUAAUAAAGUGAACAAAAUUGAUGCAUUGCAACAUGUAAUGAACUAAACUUAGUGAACCAUCUUGCUGCUGAACAUAAGCAGAAUAUGUCAUUAAGUUAAAAUGAAAUUUACAUUGUUCUAAUUGAGUACAUAUCAUCAGCAGGCCAGACUUAGUCCGACGAAUCCCAUUGAGUUUUCCUUUGGUUUCCAUUGAGUGUUAUGCACGAGCUGCCAUCGAUUACCUUGCCAGAGCAAGAUAAUCAACCUCAACCCCCUUUCUAUACUUAUCUCCUGGUCCCUUGGCCAUCGCCAAUGGCUAGAUUGCCACCGGUGAGUCGCCAAAUUUUGUUGGAAACCAGAUGCCCUAUUCUAUACUUCCUCUCCCUAGUUUCUUGUUUUGCCGACCACCACCGACCGUGGCUCGUUGUACAGAUCAUCGCCGUUGCCUUGCCGCCGGACGCCACCAUAGGUUGCUGCCCAACGGCCCAUUGUAACAACUUGGACAGCUCCUCACCUUCCUC
Molecule: long non-coding RNA, 573 nt
Filed under: Phoenix dactylifera (date palm)
Lineage: Eukaryota; Viridiplantae; Streptophyta; Magnoliopsida; Arecales; Arecaceae
Description: long non-coding RNA (PDAC_LNC000399)
Source: RNAcentral